AAUGUCGGAUAUUACGAAUAAUAAUUUAAAAAAAGAUUUUGGCGGUGUCUUAUAAAACCAGGGGAACUUGUCUCAUAACUCGAUAGUCCACGUUUACCUAACCUUUUUUUGAAAAUUCAGCAUGUGUACUGCCGUUGUAAGCACACCCCUAAAAGAAUAAAGUAUGCUUUUAUGAACCACAAUAACUCAUAUACAUCAGGUCAAAGUGCAGUUAAUAUGAAGGAGACGAUGAGUUACAACCUAAAAAGAGAAAUGAAUAAAAAUUAAAAAAUUUUUAUAAAAGUGGACUUGAAUGUAAUUAAAAAAUAUUAUAAAUUAAUGAAUAAUUAAUCUAAGACAUGCACACAUCGCCCG
Molecule: ribosomal RNA, 354 nt
Filed under: Terrisswalkerius moritzi
Lineage: Eukaryota; Metazoa; Annelida; Clitellata; Crassiclitellata; Megascolecidae
Description: partial 12S ribosomal RNA
Source: RNAcentral